CGCUGGCGGCAUGCUUUACACAUGCAAGUCUAACGGCAGCACGGGGGCAACCCUGGUGGCGAGUGGCGAACGGGUGAGUAAUAUAUCGGAACGUACCCAGGAGUGGGGGAUAACGUAGCGAAAGUUACGCUAAUACCGCAUACGACCCAAGGGUGAAAGUGGGGGAUCGCAAGACCUCAUGCUCAUGGAGCGGCCGAUAUCUGAUUAGCUAGUUGGUGGGGUAAAGGCCUACCAAGGCAACGAUCAGUAGCUGGUCUGAGAGGACGACCAGCCACACUGGAACUGAGACACGGUCCAGACUCCUACGGGAGGCAGCAGUGGGGAAUUUUGGACAAUGGGGGCAACCCUGAUCCAGCAAUGCCGCGUGAGUGAAGAAGGCCUUCGGGUUGUAAAGCUCUUUUGUCAGGGAAGAAAAGGUCGCAGCUAAUAUCUGUGGCUCAUGACGGUACCUGAAGAAUAAGCACCGGCU
This 469-nucleotide ribosomal RNA is filed under the name uncultured bacterium. RNAcentral's name for it is "bacterial SSU rRNA". It matches the Rfam family "Bacterial small subunit ribosomal RNA", at positions 34 to 498 of the family's 1533-position model. The record is from RNAcentral.